UUUUCCCUCUCUGUGUCCCUUUUCUGCCUUGCUCUCCUCUCAUAUUAGACAAAAUUUCUUUACUGUAAGACUGCCACAGUUGGUGGGGAUCACUGAGGACAAGGAGCAGUUGUGGCACAAAUGGAGCAGCGCUCAAGAGACGGAGGGUUCCGGUGACUUUUCGGUGGACGCAGAAGACUUGCCGUCGUAUUUCCACGUUCCGGGAACAACAACUAUUACCGGGGCAGGCAAGUGCCGACCAGAUUUAGGUCCCUGGAAGAUUAGAAGAUUGUCUUCAAAGUGGUCUGUUUUGAUGGCAGUCUGAAACAAUCGAAGAGGGAAGAGAAUCAGAAAAUGGACAAGAAUGAGUGAGCAUCUGGCUUUGGAGGCAGCCAUUUUAAAAACAAAACAAAACAAAACAAAAAGCUGGCCAGGAACUUUGGCUUGUUCCUACCUGUUAAGAUGGUCCUUCUCAGCUCCAGACAUGCCAGACCUUAGAAGGACUAAUACGUCACAAGUGUAGUAUAAACCACGCACUGUCUUCAAAGAACCCAAGUAGGUAAGCUCUAUGUGCUGAAAGCACAAUAUUAAAUCAAAUGUCAAAACUGCCUAAAAUGCUGCUGAAACUGUUGAAAGCUCCAAGAGGUUUUUUGAAGAGCUGACAGCUCUAUCUGAAGAUAAGAUUUAAC
Molecule: long non-coding RNA, 668 nt
Filed under: Anser brachyrhynchus (Pink-footed goose)
Lineage: Eukaryota; Metazoa; Chordata; Aves; Anseriformes; Anatidae
Description: lncRNA (ENSABRG00000005847.1)
Source: RNAcentral